ACAGGAUGAAGAGAAAAUGAGCAAGGAGCUGCUAAGACCACAGGCCCACACCAGUGCUUCAGGAACAGCACACAAAUCACUUUCCAGCCCUAGGUUCUUUUUCAAGUCUGUAUGAGAAGUCUGAUAAACUACAGUACGAUGCUAGCGAGUCUCCCGAGGGGUCACACUUCUGUCUGCGCAGGCCUCCCCCAACUCCUGAGGUACAGACAGCGCCUUCACUCCAUGUGGAGCCAUCGCUGCAGAACCUUGCUCACCUUAUUCAUCUGGGACUCGGCACCAGCUAGCCACAUCUGAAACACAUCUACGUCCCAUUUUUUCCAGCUAUUCCACUUCUAGGCAUAUUCCCAGAAGAACUGAAAGCAUCAUACCACAGUGAUAUAGGCGCACCUAUGUUUAUAGCAGCACAAUUUGUAAUCGCCAGAUCUUGGAAACAACCCAAGUGUCCAUCAACUGAGGAAUGGAUAAAAAAGUUGUGGUAUUUCUAUACAAUGGAGUACUACUCAGCUAUAAAGAAGGAUCACAUUGAGGUAUUUAUCAAUAAAUUGGGAGCAGCUUGAAACCAUACUCAUAAGUGAAAUAAAUCAAACUCACAUCUGUGAACACCGAAUAGUUUCCCUAGUGUAAGAAAUGAUUCAAAUAUAUAAAAGUAUGUGGUAACAAAGAUUCCCCAUUAUGUGGCCUUGAAGCCUUAUAAAGUUUUCACUCAUUAAUUGGAAUGGCUUUAUUCUGGGCUAUUUGAUAUUAUGGCCUGUGAUGCAAUGAACAGCUAUUUUGAAGAAAACAAGACAUCAUAAUAGCUAGUGCUGAUUUAAUACCAUCUUGUUUUGAAGCCGCACCAAACUAUGGCUCUUCUGUCUCCAUUGAUUUUAUCAUGUUGUAUCUUGCUGGAUUUUAUCGUAUGUGGUAGUAUAAACAAAAAUUGUUAUAGGCAAAGAGACAAUAUAGAAAUCAUUGUUCAUUUUUCUGUUAGCUGGUUCUAAAUACUCUACAAUGCUUUCAUCCACUUGAAUGGUGUUACACUGUCUUGAUAUGUUUGAUGCUAUAGCAUAUGAAGUUAUAUUCAAAUAUUUCAAGGAAAAAGACACUAUGGUAACUACUUAAUAGUUGGGUUAUUUGGUGGUGAAGCACUAGGUUGCUGAAAGUGUCAUGCUUUAACCUGUAUUGUUAUGUUGUUAUGUCCCCUUUUAUCUCAACCUCUCCCUUAUUCAUUAAAAAAUUAUUUAAUUUUUUAAAUUUCUUUUUUAAACUAAAGGGAAAAAUAGAAAAAACUAGCCGGAUAUAUUAUAGUAACUUUUUUGAUUUCCUAUUAACUUGAAGUCCUGUAAUACCCCCAUUAUCUUGUUUUGACUGAUUAGACUCUAUUCUGCUCUGUAUGAAAGUAUCAGGUAUCAGAGUAUAGGCAACCACUUUGAAGACAAUAAGAUUCACUAUGAUGCCCAUUCUGGUUUGACUAUUAUCCUCUUUUGAGGUUGUGUAAGAUUUACAAUGUUUAAGUUUUAUUGGUCUUGUUCUCUACUGUUUUGUUCAACUUUAUAAUACCUAAUGAGAUAGACAAUUCUUCUUAAGGAAGCAAGAGGCAUUAUGGUAACCAUUGUUGAAAACCUUGUACUCUGUUUUUACAUCAUGUGCUAUAUCUAUCCUUGGUUUUGACUGACAGCUUUGUUUUAGCAUGCUUGAUUUUAUUCUCUUACAAAAAAAGUAAUAACAUCUAAGGGAGCAAUAAAACCCAAAAUGUGUAAAUUUUGUUGUAACAAAUAGAGGGGGGAAAAAAGUGCCCUAAAGGAUACAUCAGCAAGGGUGUUUAGGUGUGUGUAAUAUAGAUGUCCAUAUUAAUAUUUUUGAUUGGAUUACUGAACACAACUAUUUGCAGUCUCACUGUUUGAAUGUUCACUUUGCAUGCUUUGAUCCUGUGACCUGAAACAGUUUCUAAGAUGAUAGCAUGUAAUCUAUUAACUGGUGAUAGCUUACUGGUUUUUUUUUUUUUGUUUUGUUUUGUUUUUUGUAGUUCUGUAUACUUGUACCCUUACACUGUUUUGUUUUGUUCUGCUUUUUUUUCUCUUUUUCCUUUAAAAAAAAAAAAAACAAAACACAUCUACAACUGGGUUUUCAGGUUCUCACCCAGAGAUCAGACACCUGGAGUGCAUUUUCUUGGAUUCAUGUAUGAAAAAAUUAAACUUGAGUUUGAAAUCAUGAAAUUCAGACUAGAAAGAAAUAAGCUAAUGUUUUAAAGAUAGGAAUAUUCUUCUAGCCAAUAUAUUAAGCUGAUUUAUUGUGUGCAAUUUGGCUUUUUUUCUCCAAACUUUACUAAAGGCAUUUUCAAAGGCCACACAUCGCCUGUUAGGUGGAGGCAUCUGACCGUGGUGUCCUCUUCUCUCAGAAAGUCACUUCCCCUUUCUUCCUCCCUUCUUGUUCAUCCACAAAGCACAGGAAUUGCCUACACCUCCACCCUGGUCCUUCUCUUCAUGCUGCAUGUCCUCCUGUAACCUCCCUUUUGGGAGGUUUUGCCAUAAAUUUGGCAUUACCUUCAUGUUCCGUGACUGCCUGGUCAUCUCUUUGUACCUUCCUAGUAUUUCUUGGUCCUCCCCUCCAGGUGACCCCUGAUCUUGCCACAGUUUUCAAGUACUGUCAGUGCAUUUUCAAAUAUAUCUUUUAUAUUCUCUCACACUGUUUUCUUCCAACCAACAUGGACUGCUCUGUUUCACCUGGACAUCUCUCCCCAUGCUUGGUUCCAGUCACAUUUAUUAACAGCUUUACUGAAACAUCAAUGACACAUAAUGAAGUAUACUUAAAGAAUCUACUUAAAGUACAAAAUUUGACAAAUUUUGAGAUGUACAUCAAUCCAUGACACCAUUAGCACACUCAUAAUAUCCAUCACCCCCAAAGGACUCUGUACUGUUACAUAGUUAGAUGGGAGUACUGCACAUGAGAUUGACUACAGAGAAAGAUAAUGUACUUUGUAUUUUGAAAAGCUAGAAGCAGUUUGAAUGCUUUCAGGUGAUGAGCGUUUGGUUAGAUACAUGUAACCUGACUGAAACAUUACACAACAUGUACAUGUACUGACAUAUCACAUGGUAUCCUGUGAUAUGACUUUUAUCAGUUAAAAUUUAGAAAGGGAAGAAAAAGUCUCAUCUUGGUAUUGGGAACUUGUUUUGUUUUUUUUUCAUCAGUCUGACCAGAUUGUUCUAAUUGAUAUUUACUAUUUUUUUCUCAAUUUCUUUUUUCAUUGAUUUUUGCUCUAAUUCCUGUUUUCCUUUCUUUUGUUUUCUUUGGUUUAAUUUGCUCUAAUUUUUCUAGUUUCUUGAAAUGGAAACUGAGGUCACUGAUUUGAAAUCUUUCUUCCUUUCUAAUCUGGGUAUUAUUUCUAUUUAAGUAUUGCUUUAGGAAUAUUACAAAAAUUUUGAUGUUACAUUUCAUCUUCAUGUAGUUCAAAAUACCACGGAUUACUUUGGAGUAUGGUUUUUAGUUCCCAGGUUUUAGAGGAUUACUUCAAAGAUUUCUCUGUUACUGUUUUUAACUUGAUUUCAUUAUGGCAGAAACCUUGGACUCUUUUAGACUGUGACAUGAAACAGAAUAUGGCCUAUCAUGGCAAAAACACAUGUGAAAACCAUGUAUAUUCUGAUUUUGUUAGGUAAAGUAUUUUAAAAUGUUAGUUUUGUGGAUAGUGUUCAGGUCUUCUGUAUACUUGGUAAUUGUCUAUUGACUUAUUAAAUAGAAACAUUAACAUUUCCAA
Cavia porcellus (domestic guinea pig) is the source of this 3730-nucleotide long non-coding RNA. RefSeq lists it as uncharacterized. The record is from RefSeq and is a predicted model, not a curated record. Lineage: Eukaryota; Metazoa; Chordata; Mammalia; Rodentia; Caviidae. The transcript has 2 exons.